AUUUCGGCAUUUGGACUUGUAUGGACUGAGAUAUACCGAUUACAGUUUUCUGUGUUUUGCAAACCUGUUUUGGUGAUUCUGGUUUAGUGUUUGGCAUUUUUGACCUAGUUGGGCCAGGAACUGGAUUAAGCGACCUUCUACAUUGUUGUAGCUCUGUUUCAUAGCUUCGAAACGGUGGGUCUUACACCCCCAUCCGAUAACCGUAGAGAAUUUGACGCCAUUACCGCAUAAUGAGUGUAAAACAGUUUUCUAUUUGGGGCCAAGACUAAGGCCAUUUUCUAAUUUCUGGUUUGCUAUUAUGCUUAUAUAUGUAUAUGAAACCCUAUUGGGGUUGUGAUUGGCAUGGCUUUAUGAAACCCUAUUGGUUGGCAUGGUUUUAGGCUUACUCUUAUUCCGGUCAGUUUCUAGCUAACUUUUGUACUUGUACUAC
This 430-nucleotide long non-coding RNA is filed under the name Coffea arabica (coffee). RNAcentral describes it as "long non-coding RNA (CARA_LNC002902)". The record is from RNAcentral. Lineage: Eukaryota; Viridiplantae; Streptophyta; Magnoliopsida; Gentianales; Rubiaceae.